Molecule: ribosomal RNA, 450 nt
Filed under: uncultured Enterobacteriaceae bacterium
Lineage: Bacteria; Pseudomonadati; Pseudomonadota; Gammaproteobacteria; Enterobacterales; Enterobacteriaceae
Description: bacterial SSU rRNA
Rfam family: Bacterial small subunit ribosomal RNA
Source: RNAcentral
GUGGAUGAUGUGGAUUAAUUCGAUGCAACGCGAAGAACCUUACUACCCUUGACAUGUCCGGAACUUGCCAGAGAUGGCUUGGUGCCCGAAAGGGAAUCGGAACACAGGUGCUGCAUGGCUGUCGUCAGCUCGUGUCGUGAGAUGUUGGGUUAAGUCCCGCAACGAGCGCAACCCUUAUCCUUUGUUGCCAGCGGUCCGGCCGGGAACUCAGAGGAGACUGCCAGUGAUAAACUGGAGGAAGGUGGGAUGACGUCAAGUCAUCAUGGCCCUUACGACCAGGGCUACACACGUGCUACAAUGGCGCAUACAAAGAGAAGCGACCUCGCGAGAGCAAGCGGACCUCAUAAAGUGCGUCGUAGUCCGGAUUGGAGUCUGCAACUCGACUCCAUGAAGUCGGAAUCGCUAGUAAUCGUGGAUCAGAAUGCCACGGUGAAUACGUUCCCGGGCCUU